CCUACGGGAGGCAGCAGUGGGGAAUAUUGGACAAUGGGCGAAAGCCUGAUCCAGCAAUGCCGCGUGAGUGAUGAAGGCCUUAGGGUUGUAAAGCUCUUUUACCAGGGAUGAUAAUGACAGUACCUGGAGAAUAAGCUCCGGCUAACUCCGUGCCAGCAGCCGCGGUAAUACGGAGGGAGCUAGCGUUGUUCGGAAUUACUGGGCGUAAAGCGUACGUAGGCGGUUAUUCAAGUCAGAGGUGAAAGCCUGGAGCUCAACUCCAGAACUGCCUUUGAAACUAGAUAGCUAGAAUCUUGGAGAGGUGAGUGGAAUUCCGAGUGUAGAGGUGAAAUUCGUAGAUAUUCGGAAGAACACCAGUGGCGAAGGCGACUCACUGGACAAGUAUUGACGCUGAGGUACGAAAGCGUGGGGAGCAAACAAGAUUAGAUACCCUGGUAGUCCACGCCGUAAACGAUGAUAACUAGCUGUUCGGGCUCUACGAGCUUGAGUGGCGCAGCUAACGCAUUAAGUUAUCCGCCUGGGGAGUACGGUCGCAAGAUUAAAACUUAAGGAAUUGACGG
RNAcentral lists this ribosomal RNA (560 nucleotides) under uncultured bacterium. RNAcentral describes it as "bacterial SSU rRNA". It matches the Rfam family "Bacterial small subunit ribosomal RNA", at positions 338 to 916 of the family's 1533-position model. The record is from RNAcentral.